This 640-nucleotide ribosomal RNA is filed under the name Levilactobacillus namurensis. RNAcentral's name for it is "bacterial SSU rRNA". It matches the Rfam family "Bacterial small subunit ribosomal RNA", at positions 81 to 706 of the family's 1533-position model. Lineage: Bacteria; Bacillati; Bacillota; Bacilli; Lactobacillales; Lactobacillaceae. The record is from RNAcentral.
CACAUUGGAACGAGUUGGCGAACUGGUGAGUAACACGUGGAAAACCUGCCCAGAAGCAGGGGAUAACACUUGGAAACAGGUGCUAAUACCGUAUAACAACAAAAACCGCAUGGUUUUUGUUUGAAAGGUGGCUUCGGCUAUCACUUCUGGAUGGUUCCGCGGCGCAUUAGCUUGUUGGUGGGGUAACGGCUCACCAAGGCGAUGAUGCGUAGCCGACCUGAGAGGGUAAUCGGCCACAUUGGGACUGAGACACGGCCCAGACUCCUACGGGAGGCAGCAGUAGGGAAUCUUCCACAAUGGACGCAAGUCUGAUGGAGCAAUGCCGCGUGAGUGAAGAAGGGUUUCGGCUCGUAAAACUCUGUUGUUGAAGAAGAACGGGUGUCAGAGUAACUGUUGACAUCGUGACGGUAUUCAACCAGAAAGCCACGGCUAACUACGUGCCAGCAGCCGCGGUAAUACGUAGGUGGCAAGCGUUGUCCGGAUUUAUUGGGCGUAAAGCGAGCGCAGGCGGUUUCUUAAGUCUGAUGUGAAAGCCUUCGGCUUAACCCGAAGAAGUGCAUCGGAAACUGGGGAACUUGAGUGCAGAAGAGGACAGUGGAACUCCAUGUGUAGCGGUGGAAUGCGUAGAUAUAUGGAAGAA